AUGAAUGGUGAAAGGAAGGUUCAUUGGAUUGCUUGGAAGAAAAUGUGUGCUAGUAAACGAGAAGGAGGUAUGGGCUUUCAUGAUCCAGAGGCUUUCAACCAAGCUUUGCUGGCUAAGCAGGCUUGGCGCAUCUUGCAAGUCCCAUCCUCAUUGUGUGCAAGGGUGAUCAAGGCGCGCUACUUCCCAGAUAAUUCGAUCAUGUCGGCUGCUUGCCCGUCAUCAGGCUCAUACACGUUCCGCAGUAUAUUGCAUGGAAGGGAU
This 261-nucleotide ribosomal RNA is filed under the name Triticum aestivum (bread wheat). Its description in RNAcentral is "partial small subunit ribosomal RNA". Lineage: Eukaryota; Viridiplantae; Streptophyta; Magnoliopsida; Poales; Poaceae. The record is from RNAcentral.